RNAcentral lists this long non-coding RNA (1518 nucleotides) under Capra hircus (goat). Its description in RNAcentral is "lncRNA (ENSCHIG00000001621.1)". Lineage: Eukaryota; Metazoa; Chordata; Mammalia; Artiodactyla; Bovidae. The record is from RNAcentral.
CACUGCGCAGACCUGCAUUGCCUGCAAAGUGCUACAGCAGGGGGAAAAGGGGGGGAUUAUUUCUAGAAUUUCCCAGAACUUUCCCUAUUUUUUAACCUUUACAUCCUCUUUGGCUUUAUUUUCUCAAGAAGAAAAUGCAUUAUUCAUGGAGCUGUAUGUUUGAAUCAGAGAACACUGUUUUGAUAGUCCCAGCAAUUCUGAUGUUAUUUUAAACUGCUGCUAUAUGGAGAUUUAGAAUUGGAGUUGUUUUUGCUUAUAUGAAGACAUAGAAUUGGAAUCAUGAUCUGGGGAUUGCAGAUCUGUCUUCAGGGACUUCAAAACUGGAUUUUGUGUGCAUGCAUUGGUGUGUGUUAUGCAAUGGGGAGGAAGAGGGUUUUAUCCUUUGGUUCAGAGAGGACCCAGGCAAAGACAUGAAAAGUCUUAACUAUCUAUAUGUCUGUAUGUCUGUCUCUGUUUACAGAACAGUGGAAGAGACUGCAGCCUAAAGACUUUUAAAAUUAACUUGGCAUCACUUUUCUCAGCUCAAAGGCUAAGCAAAAAAGCAGUGUCAUUUAUUCUAAGAAAUAACUUCUUAAAGGUUAAAGCUGAAAAAGAUUCAAGUUACUUUUGGAUAACAACUUACAGAGGCCAAAUGACAUAGGAUGAAGGCUGUUCGUAACCUGCUGAUUUAUAUAUUUUCCACCUAUCUCCUGGUUAUGUUUGGAUUUAAUGCUGCCCAAGACUUCUGGUGUUCAACUUUGGUGAAGGGAGUCAUUUAUGGAUCGUAUUCUGUAAGUGAAAUGUUUCCCAAAAACUUUACAAACUGCACUUGGACGCUGGAAAAUCCAGAUCCAACCAAAUAUAGCAUUUACCUGAAAUUUUCCAAAAAGGACCUUAGCUGCUCUAACUUUUCCCUCCUGGCUUAUCAGUUUGAUCAUUUUUCCCAUGAAAAAAUCAAGGAUCUUUUAAGAAAGAAUCAUUCUAUAAUGCAACUCUGCGAAUCCAAGAAUGCUUUCGUUUUUCUACAGUAUGACAAAAAUUUUAUUCAAAUACGUCGGGUCUUUCCAACCGAUUUCCCAGGAUUACAGAAAAAAGGGGAAGAAGAUCAGAAAUCUUUUUUUGAAUUUUUGGUGUUGAACAAGGUGAGCCCGAGCCAGUUUGGUUGUCAUGUGUUAUGCACUUGGUUGGAGAGCUGCUUAAAGUCAGAAAAUGGGAGAACGGAGUCCUGCGGGAUCAUGUAUACAAAGUGCACCUGCCCUCAGCACUUGGGAGAGUGGGGGCUCGACGACCAGGCGCUGGUUUUGUUAAAUAACGUGGUGUUGCCCCUGAAUGAGCAGACUGAGGGCUGCCUGACCCAAGAGCUGCAAACCACCCAGGUCUGCAAUCUUACCAGGGAGGCCAAGCGACCGCCCAAAGAAGUUAUAGGCUGUGUAAAAACACGGAAGCCUGGCAUGCUGCAGUCCAUGGGGUAGCAAAAAGCUGGACACGAUUUGGUGACUGAACAACAACAAAUGUAUAUGAUAGAGAAGAAAACAGGUA